RNAcentral lists this ribosomal RNA (253 nucleotides) under uncultured bacterium. RNAcentral describes it as "partial 16S ribosomal RNA". It matches the Rfam family "Bacterial small subunit ribosomal RNA", at positions 524 to 776 of the family's 1533-position model. The record is from RNAcentral.
GACGUAGGGGGCCAGCGUUGUUCGGAAUUACUGGGUGUAAAGGGUUCGUAGGCGGUGCGGCAAGUUGGGAGUGAAAUCUCUGGGCUUAACCCAGAGGCUGCUUCCAAAACUGCUGGGCUUGAGUGUGGGAGAGGCGCGUGGAAUUGCAGGUGUAGCGGUGAAAUGCGUAGAUAUCUGCAGGAACACCCGUGGCGAAAGCGGCGCGCUGGACCACUACUGACGCUGAGGAACGAAAGCUAGGGGAGCAAACAGG